Molecule: ribosomal RNA, 458 nt
Filed under: uncultured bacterium
Lineage: Bacteria
Description: bacterial SSU rRNA
Rfam family: Bacterial small subunit ribosomal RNA
Source: RNAcentral
CGGGAGGCAGCAGUGGGGAAUAUUGCACAAUGGGGGAAACCCUGAUGCAGCCAUGCCGCGUGUGUGAAGAAGGCCUUCGGGUUGUAAAGCACUUUCAGUUGUGAGGAAGGUGGUGUCGUUAAUAGCGGCAUCAUUUGACGUUAGCAACAGAAGAAGCACCGGCUAACUCCGUGCCAGCAGCCGCGGUAAUACGGAGGGUGCGAGCGUUAAUCGGAAUUACUGGGCGUAAAGCGCAUGCAGGUGGUUUGUUAAGUCAGAUGUGAAAGCCCGGGGCUCAACCUCGGAACUGCAUUUGAAACUGGCAGACUAGAGUACUGUAGAGGGGGUAGAAUUUCAGGUGUAGCGGUGAAAUGCGUAGAGAUCUGAAGGAAUACCGGUGGCGAAGGCGGCCCCCUGGACAGAUACUGACACUCAGAUGCGAAAGCGUGGGGAGCAAACAGGAUUAGAUACCCUGGUAG